GAAAACUUUCCCAACCUAUUCUUCAAAGGUCUCUUGGCUUAGUGCACGUCCUGAAUAUGCUUAGUUUCUUACUGGUUGCUGCACCUCACUUUGAGGUUUUGAUUGAUAGAUACACAAUCAUAUAAUUUACAUCCAUUUUAUGGUAGUAUUGCUCUUUAAGCAAAUGAAAAAAAAUAAAAAUAAAGAAAUGAAUACCCUCCAAAUGAAAACUUGUCCCUCGUGCUUUGCUCCUCCAUGCAGAACCUUCUCCCUAUAGCAUAAGCACACAAUACCCUUUCUGAAUAAGAGCCAUAAUUUCAACACACAAACACAUACUCUUUUAAAAAUGUUGACACAUUUCUGAUUUUUCAUCCAGACGCACAUGUUUCUGUGUUGUUUUUAUGUGAACAUUAACAUAUGAAUAUGGUGAUGAAGUGGCUUCCAUUACCAACUUCUUCAACUUUCUGCUUUCCUUUUCAACUUUUUCAGUUGGCAAGGAGCAAGAGAGCU
RNAcentral lists this unclassified non-coding RNA (489 nucleotides) under Hevea brasiliensis (rubber tree). Lineage: Eukaryota; Viridiplantae; Streptophyta; Magnoliopsida; Malpighiales; Euphorbiaceae. The record is from RNAcentral.